RNAcentral lists this unclassified non-coding RNA (427 nucleotides) under plant metagenome. RNAcentral describes it as "partial contains 5.8S ribosomal RNA, internal transcribed spacer 2, and large subunit ribosomal RNA". It matches the Rfam family "Bacterial small subunit ribosomal RNA", at positions 358 to 777 of the family's 1533-position model. The record is from RNAcentral.
GGAAUCUUCGGCAAUGGACGGAAGUCUGACCGAGCAACGCCGCGUGAGUGAAGAAGGUUUUCGGAUCGUAAAGCUCUGUUGUAAGAGAAGAACGAGUGUGAGAGUGGAAAGUUCACACUGUGACGGUAACUUACCAGAAAGGGACGGCUAACUACGUGCCAGCAGCCGCGGUAAUACGUAGGUCCCGAGCGUUAUCCGGAUUUAUUGGGCGUAAAGCGAGCGCAGGCGGUUAGAUAAGUCUGAAGUUAAAGGCUGUGGCUUAACCAUAGUACGCUUUGGAAACUGUUUAACUUGAGUGCAGAAGGGGAGAGUGGAAUUCCAUGUGUAGCGGUGAAAUGCGUAGAUAUAUGGAGGAACACCGGUGGCGAAAGCGGCUCUCUGGUCUGUAACUGACGCUGAGGCUCGAAAGCGUGGGGAGCAAACAGGA